UACGUAGGUGGCAAGCGUUGUUCGGAAUCACUGGGCAUAAAGCGCGCGCAGGUGGUCCUUCAAGUCAGAGGUGAAAGCCCAGGGCUCAACCCUGGAACGGCCUUUGAGACUAGAGGACUUGGGUACGGGAGAGGUGAGUGGAAUUCCGAGUGUAGAGGUGAAAUUCGUAGAUAUUCGGAAGGACACCAGUGGCGAAGGCGGCUCACUGGCCCGUUACCGACACUCAGGCGCGACAGCGUGGGGAGCAAACAGG
RNAcentral lists this ribosomal RNA (253 nucleotides) under uncultured bacterium. RNAcentral describes it as "partial 16S ribosomal RNA". It matches the Rfam family "Bacterial small subunit ribosomal RNA", at positions 524 to 776 of the family's 1533-position model. The record is from RNAcentral.